This 562-nucleotide long non-coding RNA is filed under the name Chinchilla lanigera (long-tailed chinchilla). RNAcentral's name for it is "lncRNA (ENSCLAG00000028617.1)". The record is from RNAcentral. Lineage: Eukaryota; Metazoa; Chordata; Mammalia; Rodentia; Chinchillidae.
CAGGUAUUUCCCAUGACUUGACUUACUUAACCCCCAUUACUCUUAUAAUUUUUUUAUUGUUUUAGGACUGGAUUGCUACAUUAGUUCUAAGAAAAUAAAAUAGACAACACACAGCAUGUCAUUUAUGUCAUGUAACAAGUGUCUGAGGAAAAGCAGUGGAGGAAUAGCACAGCCAUGCCAUGGGACUGCCAGAGAUCCAACCUUCCACUGCCACAUUCGCAGGCAGGAUUUUCAUUGUCUUCGAGCUUGCCACUUCCUGCCCCAGACUGGCUGUUAAUUCUCAGUCAAGCCCAGACAACAAAAAGAAGAAAAGACCAAGGAAUGAAAGUCUGGGCCAGAUUACUUCCGGAGGCUCCUGAGUAUCAAAGAGCAAUCUAAAGGGAAAAAGUGGGAUAGGAAGUAACAAUUAUACCUAUUAGCAGAAUCUAUCUCAGACACUGUCUUCAUGCUGGGAGCCUCACACCACUGUAAUCGUAUGUACCUAGUGAUGGAACAUACUUGUGCUCUGGUAGACAGCAGGGGAAGAUAAGAUUUAAGACUAAGAUAGCUCAUAAAACAUGUA